Molecule: unclassified non-coding RNA, 252 nt
Filed under: uncultured fungus
Lineage: Eukaryota; Fungi
Description: sequence contains ITS1
Source: RNAcentral
AAGAGGAAUUGUCGAUGAGACGACCUCCACCCUUGAUUAUGAGUAACUUUGGCAAGACGAUUGGUUGGGGAUGAUUGGAAGAUUGACUGAAAGUAAUUCUGAAAGCAUUCUGAAAGCAUUCGGAAAGCAUUCGGAAAGGAAUCAGUUGAACGAUGAUUAAUCCCCAAUUGACCGUUGGCGUUUGCGAGCGAGAGCUUGCCAAAGAUCAAAACUCUGUAUAAUUGAAGUCUGAAUAGUAUAUUGAAAUAAACA